Molecule: ribosomal RNA, 497 nt
Filed under: uncultured bacterium
Lineage: Bacteria
Description: partial 16S ribosomal RNA
Rfam family: Bacterial small subunit ribosomal RNA
Source: RNAcentral
GACGAACGCUGGCGGCGUGCUUAACACAUGCAAGUCGAACGGUGAAGCGCCUUCCUUUUUGGUCUGUGUGGAUGAGUGGCGGACUGGGGAGUAACACGUUAGUAACCUUCCCCCUUCUGCAGGAUAACCGCAUGAAAGUGUGGCUACUACGGGAUAUUCUGGAUCUGUCGCAUGAUUGGUCUGGGACAGAUUUUCUUUCGGUGGUGGAUGGGCUCGCGGCCUAUCAGCUUGUUGGUGAGGUGAGGGCCUACCAAGGCGGCGAUGCGUAGCCGGCCUGAGAGGAGGGUGGACGGCCAGAGGGGGGAGGAGAGGCGGAGAAGACUACUGGGGGAGGCAGCAGUGGAGAUUAUGGCACAGUGGGAGGAAGGCUGAAGCAGCGACGCGGCGGGAGGGAUGGAGGCCGUAGGGUUGUGAACCGCUUUCGGGAGUGAAGCAGGCCGGACUUGAUUGUGGGUGGGUUGACGGUAGCUGGAUAAGAAGCGCCGGCUAACUACGUG